RNAcentral lists this long non-coding RNA (400 nucleotides) under Mytilus galloprovincialis (Mediterranean mussel). Lineage: Eukaryota; Metazoa; Mollusca; Bivalvia; Mytilida; Mytilidae. The record is from RNAcentral.
CUGAUGUUCAUAUGAUGAAAUCAUAAUCUUUCAGUCAGUUUAGUUGAAGUCUGGAGCUGGCAUGUCAGUUAACUGCUAGUAGUCUGUUGUUAUUUAUGUAUUAUUGUCAUUUUAUUUAUUUUCUUUGGUUACAUCUUCUGACAUCAGACUCGGAUUUCUCUUGAACUGAAUUUUAAUGUGCGUAUUGUUAUGCGUUUACUUUACUACAUUGGUUAGAGGUAUAGGGGGAGGGUUGAGAUCUCACAAACAUGUUUAACCCCGCCGCAUUUUUGCGCCUGUCCCAAGUCAGGAGCCUCCGGCCUUUGUUAGUCUUGAAUUAUUUUAAUUUUAGUUUCUUGUGUACAAUUUGGAAAUUAGUAUGGCGUUCAUUAUCACUGGACUAGUAUAUAUUUGUUUAGGG